CCCCACAAGACGAGUUCUCUAAAAGAAAUGCUUCAAAAUAUGUACAUCCAGAGAUGAUAAAGUUCAAGCGGCUAGGUAUAUGUAGGACACCAUAUAGAAUAAGUAUAUCAAUGGCGUGAUGCGAAAUCAAGACAUCUAGUUUCCUGCUCCAGGACUGGGGACGGACUGCAAAAUUCGAUCGAUUUUGGACAGUUGGGGCGUGAUGAACCUUUUACCGAUGACUAUUGAUUGCGCAUCACGAACAGGGGGAAAAGAUGGUAUAAACUUGUCUUCCAAAGCAGGAUUUUCUUUCUUCUCCAGGCUCAGUAACUUUCUGGCUUCAAAAGACGGUGCAUGACAAAUCAAAAUGAGUAUGAAGAUGAAUGCCAUUGUGCUUAGACGAGCCAUAAUGAAAAACUUGCUACACAAAAAAAUAAAUCUGGG
RNAcentral lists this long non-coding RNA (423 nucleotides) under Populus trichocarpa (black cottonwood). RNAcentral describes it as "long non-coding RNA (PTRI_LNC002765)". Lineage: Eukaryota; Viridiplantae; Streptophyta; Magnoliopsida; Malpighiales; Salicaceae. The record is from RNAcentral.